UACGGGGGGGGCAAGCGUUGUUCGGAUUCACUGGGCGUAAAGGGCACGUAGGCGGCUCGGCAAAUCGGUCGUGGAAUCUCGACGCUUACCGUCGAAACGGCGGCCGAAAAUACCGGGCUCGAGGGCGUGAGGGGUCACUGGAACUCCUGGUGAAGCGGUGAAAUGCGUAGAUAUCAGGAGGAACGCCGGAGGCGAAAGCGAGUGACUGGCGCGUUCCUGACGCUGAGGUGCGAAAGCUAGGGGAGCAAACAGG
RNAcentral lists this ribosomal RNA (253 nucleotides) under uncultured bacterium. RNAcentral describes it as "partial 16S ribosomal RNA". It matches the Rfam family "Bacterial small subunit ribosomal RNA", at positions 524 to 776 of the family's 1533-position model. The record is from RNAcentral.